AAAAUAGGUAAUUUUCCAUUAUGGACAUUUCACUCAGGCUGUGACACGCUCUCCCACUACGUUCUCCCUCUUCGGUUUCUCUCUCGGAACCGAGAAACACAACUGUAAAUUCCACUUAUUCCGAUUAUUUUGGUAGCAAAUUGGUAACUUUUAACCACAAACUCUUCUUUCUCUAACCACAUCCCAUUCUCAUUGCUCAGCUUGUUUCACUGAGACACUCUUCCACUACGUGUCUCCCUGUUCGGUUUCUCUCUCGGAACCAAGAAAGAAGACUAUAACUUCCACUUAUUCCAAUUGUUUUGAAUUUUUGAAAUCCGGCGGUAGAAUAGGAGACAGAUUCUCAUGAACCACAAUGAAGUCAUCAUCAGAAAUUUCAAGGGGAAAGUUUUCACAAGAAACAUUAGGGUGAAGGUGAGGUGGGGGUGUUGAGUGAAAUUUGCGAUCUCAGACCUCUUCAAGUUGCCUCCUAGGCCCUCUCUGCAGGCAGAUUCCAUGUGAAAUGUGAGCUUCGAUGAUGAUGAUGAUGAUGAGGUUCGCUCGAGAAUGGAGAGAAGGAUUUGUUUUUUUCAAUCACAUGUAGUAAAACUUCUCAGUGUGUUGAGUUGUUCCAGCUUGAAAACACAUUAGUGAGCUGGAUUUAGUUCCAGAUUCAAACCAGUGAAACUGCUCUGCAUACUCCCUCCUUGCAGGGUCUCUCUUUGCUUUCAGGUAUAGAGGGAACAAGGUAGGUUUAGUGAUAAUAGUUUAACAAUUCAUAUUUUUCAAUAGUGUUUUGGGGAAAAAGCUACAUUAUAUUGACACUUCAAGGGUGGGGUUGAGGAGUGAAUGAGCAGGUUUAGGAGUAACAUUUAAUGAUCGAUUUCUUUCUCUAAUGUUUAUUUGAAAUGUGUAUACUUCGCAUUUCAUAGUAUCUCCCCUGUUUUGACUUCAAUUGGCGUGCACAGGGUGAGGUAAUAACUUUAUUAAUGCUUUUCUUUUAUUUUCCUCUCUCCUUUCCUGCCCUUCAAUGGUGAUAUGUAAAGGGAUUGAACUCUUAAAGAAUUUUUCCCUCUCUUUGGUUGUUACUAUAUUUUACCUUGAAUUUCACAAUUCUUUGUAGUUUGUUUGGAUGGUAGUCCUCCAGCAUACCAUUUAGAUAAAGGAUUUGGCUCAGGAAUUAACAAUUGGUUGGUUCAUCCUUCAAAGAAGCCAUGAUAAUGGGUUCUGAAGUAUAUCAGAAUUUGAAGGGUGUGAUAAAAAAGAAGUAUGGUCAAGAUGCCACGAAUGUUGGUAACGAAGGUGGCUUUGCUCCUAACAUUCAGGAGAACAAGGUCUUGAGUUGCUCAAUACAACCAUUGCUAAAUCUGGUAGCACAGUCCAGGCUGUUAUUGGCAUGGAUGUUAUUGCUUCUGAAUUUUAUCGGUAGGACAAAACGUAUGACCUAAACUUCAAGGAAGAUAACAAUAAUGGGUCACAGAAGAUCUCUGGAGAUGCACUCAAGGAUCUCUACAAAUCAUUUGUCUCUAAAUACCCAACUGUAUCCAUUUGACCAAGAUGACUAGGAACACUACAACAAGCUAACAUGUGAAAUUGGAGAAAAAGUGCAGAUUGUGGGAGAUGAUCUCUUGGUUACCAACCCAAAAAGGAUUCAGAAAGCC
Molecule: non-coding RNA, 1637 nt
Organism: Nelumbo nucifera (sacred lotus)
Lineage: Eukaryota; Viridiplantae; Streptophyta; Magnoliopsida; Proteales; Nelumbonaceae
Source: RefSeq, a predicted model, not a curated record